This 253-nucleotide ribosomal RNA is filed under the name uncultured bacterium. Its description in RNAcentral is "partial 16S ribosomal RNA". It matches the Rfam family "Bacterial small subunit ribosomal RNA", at positions 524 to 776 of the family's 1533-position model. The record is from RNAcentral.
GACGCACCGGGCGAACGUUGUCCGGAUUCACUGGGCUUAAAGCGCCCGUAGGCGGAUGACCAAGUCAGCGGUGAAAGCCCGCGGCUCAACCGAGGAAUGGCCUUUGAUACUGGUAGGCUUGAGGGAGGUAGGGGCCGGUGGAACUCCUGGUGGAGCGGUGAAAUGCGUAGAGAUCAGAAGGAACGCCGGUGGCGAAAGCGAGCGGCUGGGCCUCAUCUGACGCUGAGGCGCGAAAGCUAGGGGAGCGAACGGG